UACGGGGGGGGCAAGCGUUGUUCGGAAUUACUGGGCGUAAAGGGUUCGUAGGUGGCUUGUUAAGUCAGACGUGAAAUCCCUCGGCUCAACCGGGGAACUGCGUCUGAGACUGAUGAGCUCGAGUGCAGGAGAGGAACGCGGAAUUCCAGGUGUAGCGGUGAAAUGCGUAGAUAUCUGGAGGAACACCGAUGGCGAAGGCAGCCUCCUGGGCCAAUACUGACGCUGAGGCACGAAAGCGUUGGGAGCAAACAGG
RNAcentral lists this ribosomal RNA (253 nucleotides) under uncultured bacterium. RNAcentral's name for it is "partial 16S ribosomal RNA". It matches the Rfam family "Bacterial small subunit ribosomal RNA", at positions 524 to 776 of the family's 1533-position model. The record is from RNAcentral.